RNAcentral lists this ribosomal RNA (429 nucleotides) under Bacteroidota bacterium. RNAcentral's name for it is "Bacteroidetes bacterium partial 16S ribosomal RNA". It matches the Rfam family "Bacterial small subunit ribosomal RNA", at positions 355 to 776 of the family's 1533-position model. Lineage: Bacteria; Pseudomonadati; Bacteroidota. The record is from RNAcentral.
UAGGGAAUCUUCCGCAAUGGGCGAAAGCCUGACGGAGCAACGCCGCGUGAGUGAUGAAGGUCUUCGGAUCGUAAAACUCUGUUAUUAGGGAAGAACAAAUGUGUAAGUAACUAUGCACGUCUUGACGGUACCUAAUCAGAAAGCCACGGCUAACUACGUGCCAGCAGCCGCGGUAAUACGUAGGUGGCAAGCGUUGUCCGGUUUUAUUGGGCGUAAAGCGAGCGCAGGCGGUCAAUUAAGUCUGAUGUGAAAGCCCCCGACUCAACCGGGGAGGGUCAUUGGAAACUGGUUGACUUGAGUGCAGAAGAGGAGGGUGGAAUUCCAUGUGUAGCGGUGAAAUGCGUAGUUAUAUGGAGGAACACCAGUGGCGAAGGCGACUCUCUGGUCUGUAACUGACGCUGAGGUUCGAAAGCGUGGGUAGCAAACAGG